GGGAAUCUGUCAAGCGCCCCAGUGAAUCGUCAAACUGUGCGGAUUCGUCCAGGAGGAAGCAGAUCAGCCCAAACAAUGAGAAGCACGUCAUGAGUGAGACCCUAGCAGUCUGUUCAGAGCCUCACAGAGAGGAAUUGGAGGAGGAUAAUC
Long non-coding RNA from Lampris incognitus (smalleye Pacific opah), 150 nucleotides. RefSeq lists it as uncharacterized. The record is from RefSeq and is a predicted model, not a curated record. The transcript has 3 exons. Lineage: Eukaryota; Metazoa; Chordata; Actinopteri; Lampriformes; Lampridae.